AUGAGUUCUUAUCUCGUCUCCGCUCUGAGUUUGAGCCCCGCCGGGCUCACUUGCUUGCUCGUGGUCGUGUUCCUAUCUCGGAGGUGCUUGCUGAGCUUCGUGCUGAGGAGACCCGUCUUUGCUCUGCUGGGUUACUUGUGGGUCCUUCAGUGUUGGCCACCCGGGCUCCUGUGUCAUCUGCUCGCCUCACUGCUCCACCACUCCUGCCCACUCCUUCAGGGAGUGAGCCGUCCUCUUUAUGCUGAGAAGAGUACGUCGCGCCGUGACACUUUCUGUGGUUACUGCUCCCGGUCAGGUCACUCAGAGUCUGAUUGUCGCCAGAAGAAGCGAGACCAGAGACGCUCCUCUUCUAGUGGCCCUCCUGCAUCUUCCUCGACUCAGUCACUCAUUGACCAGGACAUUGUACGCCUCAAGCGUCUACUUGCCUCCACUGGCUCCUCGUCGACUGGUUCAGCUGCUGCUAUGACUGCACCCCCUUCUACACCACCACAGGCCUCUACUCAGUCAGGUACAUCCUCGUGGGUUCUGGAUUCUGGAGCUUCCUUUCAUAUGUCUUCUCUCCGACCUCUUGAUUCACCUGUUAAUGUUCUUACCGCUGAUGGCACACCUCUUCCUGUUGCUAGUCGUGGUCUUCUUUCCACUCCAUCCUUUUAUGUCCCUAGUGUUUCCCAUGUUCCUCGCCUUACCAUGAAUCUUUUUUCCGCUGCCCAACUCACUGAUUCUGGUUGUCGUGUCAUUCUUGAUACCGACUCUUGCUCCAUUUAG
This 765-nucleotide ribosomal RNA is filed under the name Triticum aestivum (bread wheat). RNAcentral describes it as "partial small subunit ribosomal RNA". The record is from RNAcentral. Lineage: Eukaryota; Viridiplantae; Streptophyta; Magnoliopsida; Poales; Poaceae.